ACAAAAAGAGAGAGAGCUUGAGAGAGUUUAGUCCGUUCUGAGAGUUUUUCAUUCUGGUGAGUGUUACUUGAGCGAAAGUGAGUUGUAACUGAGGGGGAGCCCGAAAAUCAUAAUCAGGGCAAACCAUUCAGGGGAGUGUGGAAACACUUGGGGUGCGUUUUGCUGAUAGAAUUUACGUUGUAAAGGGGAACAAACUCAGGGGGAGUUGUGUUCGUGGGUUGGAUUAAGCUCGAACAAGAAAGAGUUGUAAUUCACGAGUGAAUAGAAUCAGUGUAUUGUUGAAGAGUGCGUAUUCGGUCCUUCUUCCUCGGUCUUGUCCAUAUGCUUUUUUUUGGUUCCAUUUCUAUUUCGAUUUAGGGUUUGAUUUCUUCCUCUGUUGGGCUUUUCCCUUGAUCUCUCGUCGUCUCUUCCAUGGCAAUCGCAACGGAGACGACACGACCACAUGAUAAGGUAAGGAACACCUUCUUCGGAUGAAUGAAAUCUUGUUUCCUUUUUCGAUUUUCUUGUUCUUUGGUGAAAUCAGCUUCGAGAUAUCUUUGCGAACGUAUGUGGGUUCAGGGUCCUUUUCCUGAGAGAUCACAAAGGAUAUGGACAAGAUCUUGAAUUAGGGUAUGCAUUUACGUUUACAAAGUUUAUACGCAUGGACUUAAUUGAUAGAUUGAAAAGCUUUACCGAGUGAUAAGAGGGGCUCCAAACAUGAUCAUUUACAUCGUUGCAAUUUACUCGGUUAUUUUCUCUGGUUAUGUAUGUCUCUGUAACAUGCUAUGCGAUUUUUUCCAUAAUUGAUUACUGGGGAAAUGAAGAUGGUGCUGGAGAAAUGGGAACUGUGACAAGUAAAACUUGUCUGAGAGGUCUCUAUGGCUUAUUUUACGAGGUAGAGAUGCUCGUGUUUUCUGGGUACAAGUUUUCUGAGUUCAGAUUUCCUUAUCAAAGAUUAGCCUUCUGUUACUUGUGGUACCAUCUAUAGAUUGAUGGAUCUAUAUUGAUGAAGUUCAUUGGAAAUGGGUUUCUAGAUAUUUUUUUCCCCUUGGAUGCCUGGAUGGUUAUCAAUGCAGUUCAGAAAGCAAAUUCUCUUUGGGGAGGAUGUGGCCAUUAGUAUAAAUGACCUCUCCUAUUGAUUUGGGACUUCUAUUCUUCUAUAUAUAUUUGCUGUUGUAGUAAUCUGUGCAGUGAUUGGUUCACUUGAGCACACAUUGUCAGGCUUGGCGCUUGAGGUAUCGGUUACGGUGGAUGGUGGAAGUCCGAGGAAGAUGCUGCUGAGAGUUGAAAACGGUUCAAGUAUAGCACCGGUGGAACUGCACUUUAUUCUUGCGUACUCUUAAUGCAGGGAAGUUUGCUUUUAUCUCUAGCAUCGGAGGAAGUGGUAGUCUCAAUGGCUGUGGAAGGAUUGGUUUCCACUGGUCAGACAUUCCUACUGGAGAUGACUAUCAUCAUCAUAUUGCCGAAGUUAAGGGAAUAAUUUAUGCAUGUCCUUCCGGAACUUAUUAGAAUGUUUCUGGAUCCGAUAAAGCCCUUUGUCAUCUUUGUCCACCUACCGAUCUUCAUCAUCAAUCUUAUCUGAUCUUUAUUCACUAAUUCUGGCCAAAAUGUGUGGGCCGGAGCUGUCUUAGGUGGUCCUUUGCAGAAUGCAUCAGGCGGUGCCGUGUAAGUUCUGAAGGUUUAAGUGAUCCUAACUUUAUAUUUUCUCUGUUCUUUGGACGGAGCCCGUCGAAAUUGAUUUUUCUAUCUUUUUUUUUUCGAAAGUACGCCAAGGUUUUACUGUGAGACAAGUUUCCCAAAGUUACAAUACUGUCACAUGAUUUAUGUAAGGUGUAAAGUGGUGCUGGGGGAGGUAGGUUUCUGAUAACGUAAUUGGUAACGGUGGUGGACGAGGAUGUUACAAUCUUAAUUUUAUAGACGGUGGUGAUUCUUAGAGGGAUGUGGAUCUUCCUUGUGACUUCGGCAGUGGAAGUGGAGAUGAAGAUUCGAGUGAUUCAGUUACUGGUGGCGGAGUCCUGGGUGAGUCGUUGUUGGCUCAUUUGGAAUGAUCCAUUAUCAAGCUUGUCACUUGAGGGAUCGAUUACGGAUGAUGAUGGUAGUCGGAGGAGGAUGGUCAAACUUGUAAACAAUGGUCAGACAUUCCUCUUUUCUUGCAUACACUGGUCAGACAUUCCUACUGGAGAUGACUAUCUUCCUAUUGCCAAAGUAAAGGGAAGAAUUUAUGUAAGGUUUGUUUUACAAAAGUUCCUUUUUUUUUUCCUGUGAUGCAUUUACAUUUACAAAGUUUAUACACUGGAGAUGACUAUCUUCCUAUUAUUUGCAUUGUUGCAGUUUUCUUGUUUACUUUUUCUGGUUUUGUCUCUGUAUCGUCCAAAGUGAUUUGCUAUAGUUUAUUACACCGGAGGAGCGAGUAUCAGUGAAGGUUAUGCUGCGGAAAUGGGAACUUUGACUGUUAAAGCUUGUCCAGGAGGACUCUACGGCUUAUUUUGCGAGGCAUGUCCUACCGGAACUUAUUAGAAUGUCUCUGGAUCCGAUAAAGCUCUUUGUCAUUGUUGUCCACCUGUUGGUCUUCCCCUUCGCACCUUAUACGUCACUGUUCGAGAUUCUUCUGUAUUUUUAAACACCAAUCUAAUCUGAUCUUAAGCCACUAAUUCUGGCCAAAAUGUGGUGUUGCUGAAACACCUCGUCCAUAUCGACGCAUUUCUGAUGUCGAAUUGUUACACUACAUUGGAAGAGUUGAUGCAGAAUCUUUUGGUUGUUUGAUGUUUUUUCAACUGUUGCUCGGUUGAAAUCGGCUAGCGCUGAUGAAUCACCCGGGAGUGCACUUGGCCCUUCAUGGCUCUGGAAUUGAUCACUCUCUUCCUGUACUUGAAUCACUUAACAAGAUUGCGAUACUCACUCUCGGCGCCUGGACGCUUGCAACCGACAGCCGUAGUUGUGUUUUGGUCGAUCUUUUCCUCUCUCUUUUUCCAAGGUCUGAUUAUUGCGGAAGACGUUUGCAGAGUUGGAUAUAAGUUGGAAAGCAGGUGGUUGUUUGUGUCUAAUGUCUGAAAACUGCGUAUAGCGGCUACAUGUCUGUAAUUUCCAUUCAAGAACAUGGAUAUGCAGAUGUAUACGUAAGUGUGUUGAUCUGUAUAUAUUUAAAAAAAAAAAGUACUAUUAGAACACAGAGCAGGUGAAACGUCCAAGCGAGAAAUUACAAGGACCAACAGGUUGCUGCCACGCCGAGGUUGACAAUGGUGGAUCAUUCACCACAUUCGAUUUCUAAACAUAUUUAAUUGGGUCAUUAUAAAAAAUAAUCUUACUUUGCUAUUUUUUACCCAUGUGACCAGAAAUUUAAUCUUUAUAUCAUAUCUUGGUCACAACGUUAAAUUUA
Long non-coding RNA from Tarenaya hassleriana, 3355 nucleotides. RefSeq lists it as uncharacterized. The record is from RefSeq and is a predicted model, not a curated record. Lineage: Eukaryota; Viridiplantae; Streptophyta; Magnoliopsida; Brassicales; Cleomaceae. The transcript has 7 exons.